Molecule: ribosomal RNA, 465 nt
Filed under: uncultured bacterium
Lineage: Bacteria
Description: partial 16S ribosomal RNA
Rfam family: Bacterial small subunit ribosomal RNA
Source: RNAcentral
CCUACGGGGGGCAGCAGUAGGGAAUCUUCCACAAUGGGCGAAAGCCUGAUGGAGCAACGCCGCGUGGGUGAAGAAGGUCUUCGGAUCGUAAAACCCUGUUGUUAGAGAAGAAAGUGCGUGAGAGUAACUGUUCACGUUUCGACGGUAUCUAACCAGAAAGCCACGGCUAACUACGUGCCAGCAGCCGCGGUAAUACGUAGGUGGCAAGCGUUAUCCGGAUUUAUUGGGCGUAAAGGGAACGCAGGCGGGCUUUUAAGUCUGAUGGGAAAGCCUUCGGCUUAACCGGAGUAGUGCAUUGGAAACUGGGAGACUUGAGUGCAGAAGAGGAGAGUGGAACGCCAUGUGGAGCGGUGAAAUGCGUAGAUAUAUGGAAGAACACCAGUGGCGAAAGCGGCUCUCUGGUCUGUAACUGACGCUGAGGUUCGAAAGCGUGGGUAGCAAACAGGAUUAGAUACCCGAGUAGUC